Molecule: long non-coding RNA, 201 nt
Filed under: Linum usitatissimum (flax)
Lineage: Eukaryota; Viridiplantae; Streptophyta; Magnoliopsida; Malpighiales; Linaceae
Description: long non-coding RNA (LUSI_LNC000776)
Source: RNAcentral
CCGCAAUAUUCAUGUAGAACUCGUUCUUUAGUUAUAGGAUGCAUCUUAUUUCAUGCUCGUUGGAGCGUUUGCCUUAUCAAGAUAUUGAUUUCAACGCAGAUCUCAGUUCAUCUUUGGGCAACUGGUAAAGGGGAUCUGUCAGUGCAAUCAUUCCUUGCCAUACAAGAUGUGGCUGUUGUGUUCAACUCGGAUUUGUUUGAG